RNAcentral lists this ribosomal RNA (432 nucleotides) under uncultured bacterium. RNAcentral describes it as "partial 16S ribosomal RNA". It matches the Rfam family "Bacterial small subunit ribosomal RNA", at positions 29 to 507 of the family's 1533-position model. The record is from RNAcentral.
AACGAACGCUGGCGGCAUGCCUAACACAUGCAAGUCGAACGAGACCUUCGGGUCUAGUGGCGCACGGGUGCGUAACGCGUGGGAACCUGCCCUUAGGUUCGGAAUAACUCCCGAAAGGGGUGCUAAUACCGGAUAAUGUCCUCGGACCAAAGAUUUAUCGCCUUUGGAUGGGCCCGCGUUGGAUUAGCUAGUUGGUAGGGUAAAAGCCUACCAAGGCGACGAUCCAUAGCUGGUCUGAGAGGAUGAUCAGCCACACUGGGACUGAGACACGGCCCAGACUCCUACGGGAGGCAGCAGUGGGGAAUAUUGGACAAUGGGCGAAAGCCUGAUCCAGCAAUGCCGCGUGAGUGAUGAAGGCCUUAGGGUUGUAAAGCUCUUUUACCCGGGAUGAUAAUGACAGUACCGGGAGAAUAAGCUCCGGCUAACUCCGUG